RNAcentral lists this ribosomal RNA (547 nucleotides) under Rhynchophorus vulneratus. Its description in RNAcentral is "eukaryotic LSU rRNA". The stretch from base 1 to 106 matches the Rfam family "5.8S ribosomal RNA", at positions 50 to 154 of the family's 154-position model. The record is from RNAcentral. Lineage: Eukaryota; Metazoa; Arthropoda; Insecta; Coleoptera; Curculionidae.
UAAUUGCGCGUCAACUUGUGAACUGCAGGACACAUGAACAUCGACAUUUCGAACGCACAUUGCGGUCCUGGGAUCUCAUACCCGGACCACUCCUGGCUGAGGGUCGUAUCUCAUUUGAAGAUUGCUCGGAUUUUCAUCGAUCUUCGCGAUCGACGAGAAACGUCUGAGCGUGCUGAGCGUAUAAGCGCGAUUCGAUCGCGGCGUUCUAAAACGUGACAGCGGACCCGUACGUGUGACCUAACUCUCUCGUAUGGGUCGUACGAAUAUGAAAGGGAUGAGACGUGUUUAAACGGUCAUUUGCACGUUCUUGUGAUAAACGUAGCGCGCACCAUUAAUACGAUCGUCGUAUCCGAUAAAAUUAGUUUUUAAUCGACGUCGGAUCGUAGGUGCGUUGCCUCUCGAAUACGAGGGAGAAAACGCCGUUUUUCGACGGCGCGUCUUUUCCAUUCUAAACUUUUAUAUUUCGUAUUAGCUCCUAAUCAUCAUUAUUAUGAUGAUUACGAGCGCCACGCAUAUUAAACUAGCGACCUCAGAGCAGGUGAGACUA